This 214-nucleotide unclassified non-coding RNA is filed under the name Dactylella sp. RNAcentral describes it as "partial contains 5.8S ribosomal RNA, internal transcribed spacer 2, and large subunit ribosomal RNA". The record is from RNAcentral. Lineage: Eukaryota; Fungi; Ascomycota; Orbiliomycetes; Orbiliales; Orbiliaceae.
CGCACAUUGCGCCUAUAGGUAUUCCUUUAGGCAUGUCCUUUUGAGGGGCUUAUCAUCGUAGCCGAAGUGCUGUGUUGGAUCAAACCAUCAACGGGUUAAUCCUAAAUGAAGUGCGCGACGCAGCGAACAGUAUACGCAAACGUCGACGCAAAAUCCAGUCGUUCGCGGCUAUUAAUUUUGCCCUCAGAGAGAUAAGAUUACCCGCUGAACUUAA